Molecule: transfer RNA, 62 nt
Filed under: Leersia perrieri
Lineage: Eukaryota; Viridiplantae; Streptophyta; Magnoliopsida; Poales; Poaceae
Rfam family: tRNA
About the family: Transfer RNA (tRNA) molecules are approximately 80 nucleotides in length. Their secondary structure includes four short double-helical elements and three loops (D, anti-codon, and T loops).
Source: Rfam by way of RNAcentral
UCCGUUGUAGUCUAGCUGGUUAGGAUACCCGAGAGACAAGGGUUCGAAUCCCGGCAACGGAA